UCUUGUACAACGUGCCACGAGCAACUCCCUUUGCACUCACCAAUGAUCCCUUGGUGAGUCUCCACUAUUGAUUUGAAAAAUAGUUCUCGUAUCCAUCUCGGUCCAAAGCAAUUCCCGAGAUCAAGUUUAUCCGCAAAUCAGGUACAUGCCGCACAUCCUUUAGAACCAAUGUGCAUCCGACAUUUGUCUUGUUACAAAUGUCACCAAUCCCCGCAAUCUUUGAGUAACUCGUGUUACCUAUUCUCACGGUGCCGAAAUCACCUGCUACAUAUCUACAAAAAAGAUCUCUUACCGGUGUGUGACAUUUUUCUUGAUACAAAUGUCACAAAUCCCCGCAAUCCUUGAGUGACUCGUAUUACCCAUUCUCACGGUGCCGAAAUCACCUGCUACAUAUCUACAAAAAAAGAUCUCUUACCGGUGUGACAUGGUAAGAUGCCGCUGUGUCAACCACUCAUUCCGACUCUGGACCUGACAGGUGCAUGCAUUUCUCAUCAUCAUUUAUAAAGAGGACAACAUUGUCAUUGUUUUGCACCAUGGCAGCUGUGUUGUCGUCAUUCUUCUGGUCACUAGUUUCAUCUUUGCCCUUCCUUGAAUUUGGGAAAUCUCUUUUGAAGUGGCCUGGUUGAUCACAGUUGUAGAAAUUUCUAGCUUUUGAUUUGGAUCGAUUUUUUGACUUUCCACGAGCUCCGGAUCUACCAUAGUUGCUCGAACUCCUUUGAUAACUCCUGCCUCUACCUUCUGCGCAUUCUUUGACUUUUCACGAGCUCCGGAUUUACCAUAGUUGCUCGAACUCGUUUGAUAACUCCCGCCUCUACAUUGUGUGAUAAGAGUCUGUCCUUGAUUUUCAGGCUUCUUUCUCAAUCUUCUCAUUGA
This 873-nucleotide long non-coding RNA is filed under the name Nicotiana benthamiana. RNAcentral describes it as "long non-coding RNA (NBEN_LNC036299)". Lineage: Eukaryota; Viridiplantae; Streptophyta; Magnoliopsida; Solanales; Solanaceae. The record is from RNAcentral.